AUAUAUAUAUAUAUAUCUGACGUGUUUCUAUUAUAGGUAUUUGGAGUUUCGUUUCUAGAUCGUCUGGCUAAUGUAGGAAAAAAUUCCAACAAUUAUUCAUGAGAAGAAGGUUUAAAUUUAUGGUAAACUACUUUACAUGGAGAAUAGCCUGUGUUAUGUGCCAUUUAGAAGAAACGAUCCGCUAUAAAGAAAUGACUCCGGAAAGAGGCGAAGCUAGCUGGGAAGAAUGGUGGACUUAUGACGGAAUAUCUGGACCAGAUUUUUGGGGUCUUCUUAAUCCCGAGUGGCAUCUAUGCAGUAGAGGUCGACGACAAUCUCCGGUCGAUCUCGACCCCACCUUACUCCUUUACGAUCCUUAUCUGAGGAAACUACAAAUAGAUAAACAAAGAGUGAACGGAGUGAUAUGGAACACGGGUCACAGCGUGGUGUUCCGAGCAGAAACGGGUCCGUACGUUCCGGUGGCAAAUAUAUCAGGCGGGCCCAUGUCUUACAAUUAUCAAUUCGAACAAAUCCACCUGCACUACGGAAGACUGGAUAGCUUUGGAUCGGAGCACACACUAAUGGGACGAGCUUUCCCGGCAGAGGUUCAAAUCUACGGCUAUAACUCCGAUCUAUAUUCUAACAUGUCCGAAGCCUUUCAUAGAUCUCAAGGAAUCGUCGGUAUCGCGCUUUUAAUUCAGAUCGGAGAAACAUCUAACUUAGAACUACGCCUUCUGACUAGUCAAUUACAUCAAAUUAUUUACAAAGGUCAGCAAGCGGAGCUGAAGUCCCUAUCCAUCAAGGAACUUCUACCCGACACCGAAUAUUACAUGACUUACGAAGGCUCCACUACAAUGCCGGGAUGUUACGAAACCGUCACUUGGAUUAUCAUGAACAAACCUCUGUACAUAACUAGGCAACAAUUUUACGCUCUUCGAAAGUUGAUGCAGGGAGACCCCGAAAAUUCUAAGGCGCCGUUAGGUAACAAUUACCGACCGACGCAGCCCUUUCACCAUCGCGUCGUUCGCACAAAUAUUGAUUUCUCCAGAAAAUUGGGUCAUCAAUGCCCCACUAUGAGGAAUAACAUAUUCUAUCAAGUAAACAAGAGGAACUGAAGAUUAUGAGGAAAGUAGUCGAGUGCAAUCUCACAAAGACGAAUUGCCAGGCUUAGUUCAAUUCUGUACGGACUUCAUACAAGCUAGGCCUAGACUGAUAAAGUCCAUUUUGCUACGCCAAAUAAGCAGGACCUCUUCAGCACUCCCAAAUAACCAACUAACCGGCUCAUCCUUACGAUUCGAUGUGACAUUCUCGGAAAAAGUAAACGUGUCCACGAGUCGAGAUUUUUUCCUAAGCGACAUAUAUUGGUCUGAUUGAGAAAGACAGUUUGUCGUUUAACGUGGAUGUAAAAUAUCUAGAAAUAGACGGGUAAUUGGAACCGAGGUGCAGUAAAAGUGGUAAAGUGCCUGCAUAUGAAAAUAGACAAUGGUGUCUUCGUCGGCUCCCACUCGUACGAGAAUUCUUGCUAUUCUGAAAUUCUCGCAAAUAAACAAAAAUAGGUUUCGUUGAUUCGUGCCAAGGACAUGUUUGCCAUGUAUGUUAAAUUUAUUACAAUAUGUUUAUUUAGCAUAUCUGAAGACACUCUAGGUCCUAUUCAAUUGUUGCACGUCUUUAUUUAAUCAUCGAUUCUUCUUUAGUUCUGUAAUUUUUUUUAUAUAUAUUAUGUGAAGAACGUAUAAAAACAUCUUAUGUGAAAAGAAAAAUAUUAUUAUUCUUACAUCCAACAUUAAAAUCUGAAUACGUUCGGAUUUUGCACGAAAGGUGAACAAAUAAUUUAAUGAAAGUGUUAUAGAAAGAGACGUCUUUGUACAUUUAUGCAAUACUGCGAAUGAUGAGGACUGCCUGUUGUGGAGAAUAGUUUUUUGUAGAAAGUCCACGAAUAAUUAGAUAUAAACAUAUAUAGUUCUUCGGAGAUGCACCUAAUCAAACCUGUGCGCGGGAUCCGCUGAAGAGUGCCCUGUUAACUAACUAACUGAACAAGUCUUUCUUUUUUGGAUUUGAAAAUCUUGGUCUUCCUCUGAUAUUUUCAUUUACCAGAUAUCCUAAUCCAGUAGUUUCGACGCAUUUUAAAGUCAAUGGACAUAUCUGGUGCUCCCGUCGCUGUCCUUUGACCAACCUUGCCUUUAACAAAGGAAUCUUUGCACUAAAGCCAAGUUAGUUCACGAAAUGAUGCAACUGGAGAAACAGAUCUGUACACCUGUUUUGCCAUUUAUUCGUGCUUAAUACUUUUAAUUGUCCAAGAAAUAAAUUGUGUAAAUAACUGUAUGCAACAACUAAAAAUUUUAUAAUAAAAAAACUG
This 2335-nucleotide unclassified non-coding RNA is filed under the name Centruroides sculpturatus (bark scorpion). RNAcentral's name for it is "carbonic anhydrase-related protein 10-like, transcript variant X2". The record is from RNAcentral. Lineage: Eukaryota; Metazoa; Arthropoda; Arachnida; Scorpiones; Buthidae.